UGAACCGUGAAAAUGAGGUCAAGGUCAAAUAAAACCUGCGCGACUGACAUAUAGAUCAUACAAUAUUUCCAUACACCAAAUAAUUAGUUGACCAUAUAGUAUUAAAAAAACCCACCAAAACUCAAAAACUUAACUUUGACCACUGAACCAUGAAAAUGAGGUCAAGGUCAGGUGACACCUGCAAGCUAGACAUGUACACCUUACAAUCAUUCCAUACACCAAAUAUAGUAGACCUAUUGCAUACAGUAUAAGAAAAACAAACCAAAACACAAAAACCUAACUAUAACCACUGAACCAUGAAAAUGAGGUCAAGGUCAGAUGACACCUGCCAGUUGGACAUGUACACCUUACAAUCAUUCCAUACACCAAAUAUAGUAGACCUAUUGUAUACAGUAUAAGAAAAACAGACCAAAACACAAAAACUUAAGUAUAACCACUGAACCAUGAAAAUGAGGUCAAGGUCAGAUGACACCUGCCAGUUGGACAUGUACACCUUACAGUCCAUCCAUACACUGAAUAUACAAGACCUAUUGCUUAUAGUAUCUGAGAUAUGGACUUGACCACCAAAACUUAACCUUGUUCACUGAUCCCUGAAAUGAGGUCGAGGUCAAGUGAAAAGUGUCUGGCGGGCAUGAGGACCUUGCAAGGUACGCACAUACCAAAUAUAGUUAUCCUAUUACUUAUAAUAAGAGAGAAUUUAACAUUACAAAAAAUCUUAACUUUUUUUUCGAGUAGUCACUGAACCAUGAAAAUGAGGUCAAGGACAUUGGACAUGUGACUGACGGAAACUUCGUAACAUGAGGCAUCUAUAUACAAAGUAUGAAGCAUCCAGGUCUU
RNAcentral lists this long non-coding RNA (837 nucleotides) under Mytilus galloprovincialis (Mediterranean mussel). Lineage: Eukaryota; Metazoa; Mollusca; Bivalvia; Mytilida; Mytilidae. The record is from RNAcentral.